GCGCUGCCCUGGCGCGUCCGCGGGCUUGGCGCGGGCCGGGCCGUGCGGGCCGCGGGUGUGCUGACCCCUGCGAUUUCCCCAAAUGCGGGAAACUCGACUGCAUAAUUUGUGGUAGUGGGGGACUGCGUUCGCGCUCUCCCCUG
Small nuclear RNA from Onychostruthus taczanowskii (white-rumped snowfinch), 143 nucleotides. RefSeq annotates it as U1 spliceosomal RNA. The record is from RefSeq and is a predicted model, not a curated record. The transcript has a single exon. NCBI's taxonomy places the organism in Eukaryota, Metazoa, Chordata, Aves, Passeriformes, Passeridae.